Osmerus eperlanus (European smelt) is the source of this 68-nucleotide small nucleolar RNA. RefSeq annotates it as small nucleolar RNA SNORD42. The transcript has a single exon. The record is from RefSeq and is a predicted model, not a curated record. Lineage: Eukaryota; Metazoa; Chordata; Actinopteri; Osmeriformes; Osmeridae.
GCGCAAAUGAUAGAAAGAAAUGUACUGUCUGAAUGUUUGUGAUGCAUUCAAAGGAACCACUGAUGCCA